Molecule: ribosomal RNA, 468 nt
Filed under: uncultured bacterium
Lineage: Bacteria
Description: partial 16S ribosomal RNA
Rfam family: Bacterial small subunit ribosomal RNA
Source: RNAcentral
GACGAACGCUGGCGGCGCGCCUAACACAUGCAAGUCGAACGGAGUCAAGAGGAGCUUGCUUUUCUUGACUUAGUGGCGGACGGGUGAGUAACGAGUGAGUAACCUGCUCUGGAGUGGGGGACAACAGUUGGAAACGACUGCUGAUACUGCAUAAGCCCACGGAUCUGCAUGGAUCUGCGGGUAAAGGAUUUAUUCGCUCUAGGAUGGACGCGCGUCCAAUUAGCCAGUUGGUGGGGUAACGGCCCACCAAGGCGACGAUUGGUAGCCGGACUGAGAGGUUGAACGGCCACAUUGGGACUGAGACACGGCCCAGACUCCUACGGGAGGCAGGAGUGGGGGAUAUUGCACAAUGGGGGAGACCCUGAUGCAGCGACGCCGCGUGGAGGAAGAAGGUUUUCGGAUUGUAAACUCCUGUCGUUAGGGACGAUAAUGACGGUACCUAACAAGAAAGCACCGGCUAACUACGUG